Molecule: ribosomal RNA, 378 nt
Filed under: uncultured eukaryote
Lineage: Eukaryota
Description: partial 18S ribosomal RNA
Rfam family: Eukaryotic small subunit ribosomal RNA
Source: RNAcentral
CAAUAGCGUAUAUUAAAGUUGUUGCAGUUAAAAAGCUCGUAGUUGAAUUUCUGCAUAGGGCUGUUGGUCCACCCCCUGGGUGAGUAUCUGACAUGUUCUGUGCAUGAGUCUUGAUGGCUAUAGGGCCUUCGCUGGUCGUAUAGUCGUCAGCUAUUUUACUUUGAGGAAAUUUGAGUGUUUCAAGCAGGCAUGUGCCUUGAAUAUAUUAGCAUGGAAUAAUGAAAUUGAGCUUUGGAUCUUUUUUAUUGGUUUCGAGAACCAUCGCAACGAUUGAUAGGGACAAUUGGGGGCAUUUGUAUUUAACUGUCAGAGGUGAAAUUCUUGGAUUUGUUAAAGACACACUAAUGCGAAAGCAUUUGCCAAGGAUGUUUUCUUUGA